AAUAGAUACCCUGGUAGUCCACGCCGUAAACGAUGAGUGCUAAGUGUUAGGGGGUUUCCGCCCCUUAGUGCUGCAGCUAACGCAUUAAGCACUCCGCCUGGGGAGUACGGUCGCAAGACUGAAACUCAAAGGAAUUGACGGGGGCCCGCACAAGCGGUGGAGCAUGUGGUUUAAUUCGAAGCAACGCGAAGAACCUUACCAGGUCUUGACAUCCCAUUGACCACUAUGGAGACAUAGUUUUCCCUUCGGGGACAGCGGUGACAGGUGGUGCAUGGUUGUCGUCAGCUCGUGUCGUGAGAUGUUGGGUUAAGUCCCGCAACGAGCGCAACCCUUGUUCUUAGUUGCCAUCAUUUAGUUGGGCACUCUAAGGAGACUGCCGGUGACAAACCGGAGGAAGGUGGGGAUGACGUCAAAUCAUCAUGCCCCUUAUGACCUGGGCUACACACGUGCUACAAUGGACGGUACAAACGGUUGCCAACCCGCGAGGGGGAGCUAAUCCGAUAAAACCGUUCUCAGUUCGGAUUGUAGGCUGCAACUCGCCUAC
RNAcentral lists this ribosomal RNA (544 nucleotides) under uncultured bacterium. RNAcentral describes it as "bacterial SSU rRNA". It matches the Rfam family "Bacterial small subunit ribosomal RNA", at positions 777 to 1319 of the family's 1533-position model. The record is from RNAcentral.